Molecule: long non-coding RNA, 1507 nt
Filed under: Medicago truncatula (barrel medic)
Lineage: Eukaryota; Viridiplantae; Streptophyta; Magnoliopsida; Fabales; Fabaceae
Description: long non-coding RNA (MTRU_LNC003910)
Source: RNAcentral
AAAUGCAAUGGCCUUCACAUAAUUGUCCACACUGAUACCCUCCCCUUUGAUUUAUGGGGGAGGGGGAACCAUGUGGAGGUUUGUACAUAGAUAGAGAACCUCUCAUGAAGCACAGAGAUUUGAAAUUAAAACAAUCUUCAUUAACCAAGUCAAUUCAAUAUGGCUUGUUGGUCUCAAUAUUGGAAGCACUUUGAGGGAAUGAGAGCCACUCGGACGCAGUUUGCAUUGUCGGAUAGAGUGAUAAAUGGAUUUGGAUUCUCUGCUCUUAUCCAAUCAUGCAAUUGUUAAUCGAAACCGUCAGAUUAAGAUUAAAAUUCUCACGUUCUGACUUUGUAUUCUGAAUUUGAUUUACUAAAGUUGUACUCUGAUCGUGAUCAAAUAGUCUAGAUUACGUGACUGUGCCGAAUGAGUGAUUUCAUAUGCAGGAAAUCUUUAUCUUGAUUUCACAUUUGCAUUGGUGGCAUCUCUGUUGAUUUUCCGGUAAACCUGAGUUUCUAAACUAUGGUUCUGGAAAGUUAUUAUGUUACUUUCAAAAUGGUUGUUGAUAAAAAAGUGGUUGUGAAAAGUUAUUAUGUUACUUUCAAAGUUAUAGCAAUGUUAUGCAACUAAAAAAGAGAAAUAUGACUUGUUUGAUAAUAGUACUAAAAUGUGGUGUGAUUUAGUAUGUUUUUUUACCUUGAAAAUGCUUAUAUCACUAAAAGUGGCUCAUAAUUUCAAUAGAGAUAACAUCAGCAAUACAAAUUAGUAUGACUAUAAAUAUGGUGACGAGAUGAAAAAUAGUAAUCUUAUAAAGCUACUCGUUUAACAUUAACUACGCAAUUUGCUUGACGUUUUAGAUCGCAAUUUUGCCAAAAAAAUCAACACAUUGCUUCUCUUCGCGCAGAGGGUGUGGCGGAGAUCCACAACACAAUAACAUAAGCAUGCAGAGACGGAGUUGUUUCUUUAAUCAAUGCGAGAGCAUUUAGAGAAUCAAAACAACAAAUAACAUUUCUGAGUCCAUGAAAAAUACCAAGUAAUUCUGCAUGGAGAAUAUUACUCACACAAAGGUGACCAUGAUAGCUAAUGAUCCGAUCACCAAACCCGGCGAUUCCAGGAUUUCCAAUGACACUUUCAUCAACAUUUAGAAUCGUAGCAUCUUCUCAAGACUCGUACCAAGAAACGCUGUUGAUGUUUCGGCUAAGGUUCUCAUUUGGAAAACAAGCUGAAAUGACAUUACCAAGGACAACGGUAACCGAAAUGAGUUUAUAAAGAUAGAAACUCUCCUUAGCUAUACACAUAGAAUUUCUAGCUCUCUUAAGAGACUAAUGUGAUCACCCAAAGUUCCAGCUUUCAGCAACUCAACAACAUCAUUUUGAAGGAAAAAAAUUAGGAUCGUUAAAGCCAAGCUGUAACCACAAUAUGAUGUGAUGAUUACAAAUAUUGGCCCUAGUUUAAUCUUCUGUUAAUGUUUUUUUUUUUUUUUUCGUUUGGACAAGAUAUAAGUGCUUGUUGAUUACUUUUACUUAGG